RNAcentral lists this ribosomal RNA (345 nucleotides) under uncultured bacterium. Its description in RNAcentral is "bacterial SSU rRNA". It matches the Rfam family "Bacterial small subunit ribosomal RNA", at positions 28 to 355 of the family's 1533-position model. The record is from RNAcentral.
GAUGAACGCUGGCGGCGUGCUUAACACAUGCAAGUCGAACGGAACUAUCUGCUUGAAUUUCUUCGGAGAGGAUUGCUUUUAGUUUAGUGGCGGACGGGUGAGUAACGCGUGGGUAACCUGCCUCAUACAGGGGGAUAACAGUUGGAAACGACUGUUAAUACCGCAUAAGCGCACAAAACCGCAUGGUUUUGUGUGAAAAAACUCCGGUGGUAUGAGAUGGACCCGCGUCUGAUUAGCUAGUUGGUGAGGUAACGGCCACCAAGGCGACGAUCAGUAGCCGGCCUGAGAGGGUGAACGGCCACAUUGGGACUGAGACACGGCCCAAACUCCUACGGGAGCAGCAGU